GGCUUCAGUCUGUUGAGAGCAGAGAAAUCAUUUCCAUAGAGAGGAGGCUUUGCAUCGUCAGCUGAUCCUCCAGUGAACUGAGAAGGUUUAUAGUUCUGUGAGUUCAACACUGCAGGACUCAGAUCUGUCAGUCAACACGUCAGAAACUACAACCACCAUGACUCUCAUCACCAUCCUCAUCUGGACGCUGGCCUGCUGCUGCCUCAAAGGAUCUAGUAGUGAACUGACUGUCACUCAACCAGCUGUUAUCACAUCUUCUCCUGGAGCCACAGUCACUCUGACCUGUAAAACCAACCCAAAAGUUAAGACAUGGUCAGAUGGAGAUAGUAGAGUACACUGGUAUCAGCAGAAAUCUGGAGAAGCUCCCAAGUUGGUCAUCAAACUGGGUAAAAAUCCUACAAGUGAGUUUUCUUCCAGAUUCUCUGGCAGAGGAGACGGAGUGAAUGCUGAGAUGACCAUCAGUAGAGUUCAGACUGAAGAUGCAGCAGUUUAUUACUGUGAGAGAUACGAUGAAAUAAGCAGUGCUUGGGUGUUCACACAGUCAUUUGUAGUCGUACAGAAACCUCCCUCAGUCAGACUGCAGAGACACUGAGCUGUUAUAGCAGGAACCAUGUGCAGCUGCUGAAGAGGAAGAGACUCAGACCAAUGAACACAGAGCUGACAGUAAUCUCACUAAGCACAAACUACAGAUUCAUAUUAAUACAUUGAUUAAAAGACUUUUAAAAUCUAAGGACAC
Molecule: non-coding RNA, 736 nt
Organism: Micropterus salmoides (largemouth bass)
Lineage: Eukaryota; Metazoa; Chordata; Actinopteri; Centrarchiformes; Centrarchidae
Source: the annotation of a RefSeq genome assembly